Long non-coding RNA from Panicum virgatum (switchgrass), 626 nucleotides. RefSeq lists it as uncharacterized. NCBI's taxonomy places the organism in Eukaryota, Viridiplantae, Streptophyta, Magnoliopsida, Poales, Poaceae. The record is from RefSeq and is a predicted model, not a curated record. The transcript is spliced from 3 exons.
CCGAGGUAGAGGCGGCUGCGGCAUCGACGGCUCAAGGAAGAAGCUCCGUCUGUCCAAGGACCAGGCGGCCGUGCUUGAGGACAGCUUCCGGGAGCACCCCACUCUCAACCCUCGGCAGAAGGCAGCCUCAGCCGCCCGAGGUAGAGGCGGGCCGGCGGACUCCAGACGGAGCGACGGACAGGCCGGACGGAGCGACGGCCUGAGACAGGAAGCCGGCAAGUGUCUGAGCUCGGUUCGCGAAGAAGACGACCAGAGACAGUGAACCAAGGUUUAAACUAUGAAAAGAAAGAGGGGUGGUAGUGCCGCCAUUGAUUUGAAAUCUUUCUUGCAAAGAGCUGCGGCAAAGAAAAAACCUCUUGAGUCAGAGGUUGUUGCCCCACCUACUAAUGAAAAUCAAAGGCAGAUAGUGGUAUUUUCAAGCGAAGGAUGAGGACAUCAUCAAUUAUUUUCAAGCUAUGAAGGACCGAAAAGUUAUCUUGUAAUUUGUAAGCAUCCUUAUCAAUGCCAUUUAUUGUUUUAGUACCUCUAUUUUCUAUAUGUUGAACAAUUUCAGAAUUCAGAUUAUGAACAAUUUAUGUUGUUAGUACUAAAUCAUGUGCUACUAAUAUGUAUGUUGGGCUGUUAAA